GUAAGUGAGCAUGGCACAGGCAGGAGUUGUUUAAGAUAAGUUACAUCUUAGCUAAUCCAGCGACAUCUGCAUACAUCUUACGCCUUUGGCAGCAUCGUGGCUCCAUCGAACCAUGGUGGUCUUGGCUGUAGUCCUAAGUGGUGUGGCCUUCACCCAGCCUUUCAUAAACAGGAGGGGAUGGAGCGAUGCACCGCAUCCGAGUCUCUGGGAGGGGAGAGAGGAGCUCUUCUCCAAGUUCACCGUAAAGCCCAGGUGCUACAGAAUUAUGACCAGUGCCACCUUCUGUAGCGCCGCCCCCUUUCUGGAGCGGGCUAGCAGCAGCCGGUCGUCCAAAUAAAAGAGCACCUUCAGGCCCCUCCGGCGUAGCGGCUCCAGAGCAGUCUCAACUCCGGUUUCCAUGUGCAGCCCGACAGCAGCUGCUGUGGUCAGGGAAACAACCAUGUACCUGUGCGGUACAAGAACCGGGAUGGGGGAAGGUGUAUAGCAGCCAAUUGGGCCACAGAGGAUGCGCAAAAGCAUCCACCCCAGUGGGGGAGCAUCCCGAGACCUCAGGGAGAAAUGCAGAAACUUUCUAUGUUUCAAAAUGAUGGAAAUGUGGAAGUACGAGUCCUUCAGUUAGAUGGAGGUGAGCCACUCUCCCUACCGCACACACUCAAAUGUCUUAUCAUCAACAUGUGAAACGGCUGUUAUUGCUCUUUUUUACAUUAUAGUUUAAUUGUUAUUAUUAUCUUAAUCAUAGUUUAUAGUUUGAUUGUUAUUACCUUAAUGAUAGUCAGAAUGUGAUUAUUGUUGAGUAUGUUAUUGAUGUUAUUGAUGUAAGGUUGAAUCAUACUGUGUGUAUGCUUAUUCACUAUUAUCAGCAGACUGUACUCUGAGUUAUUGAAAGGUCAAGGGAGAGUCACGGGCUUGAGGGAGAUAAGGAUCCAGGUGCACCAGCAUAACAAAUAUCAGUCUUUAAAGCACACAAGACAACACCAAGAAAACACAUGUUGGUCUGUCAGCACACGUUAGCAUCAGAACACGCUUAAAUGAGUAAACCCACAGAGCAAACUGACAGAUGGCUGAUUGUUUAUGCCAAGAAAUAUUGGUUUCAAAGGACCCCUUAGGGAGUGCUAAAGGUUCAAGGACAAUAGUUUUGAGGAACCCCUUAGAGUGGAAAAUUCCAAACAGUCUGUUGAGUGCCAUGGUUGAUUUGAAAUGAUUGUGUAACCAGAAAACAUGUUAACCUUUUAAAUCUUAUUUGUUUAAGCUAAGUAAAUUUGACCUUCUGGAGGUUCUAAUGGUGAAUUAGGACUAGAGCAUUCAAAAAAUAUAAAAAGGAUGUUGUUACGACAAUUUAUUGUUAAAAAUAGUUAACUUUGAUUAGACAAAAAGUAAAAUGAUUAAUAGCACAUGAAGUAAAUCAGUACACUAAAGCUGCCACUAGAUGGCAGCAGAGGAUAAGACAUUCAUCAUCAGAACGAGCCAGAAAGGGUGCGGUCAGCAAACAUAGAGGAGGAGAUAACGUAGAAAUCCCAAUUUAGUGGGCAAAGACUGAGGAUUAUAAAAGGAGAUGUUCGCUGACUGCGCACUCAGUUCCAAGCAUGUAACUCGGGUUUUCGUCUUUUACAGAAAUAAAAACUCUUUUCCAUC
Micropterus salmoides (largemouth bass) is the source of this 1632-nucleotide long non-coding RNA. RefSeq lists it as uncharacterized. The record is from RefSeq and is a predicted model, not a curated record. The transcript is spliced from 3 exons. NCBI's taxonomy places the organism in Eukaryota, Metazoa, Chordata, Actinopteri, Centrarchiformes, Centrarchidae.